RNAcentral lists this small RNA (122 nucleotides) under unclassified sequences. Its description in RNAcentral is "LOOT RNA". It matches the Rfam family "LOOT RNA". From Rfam's summary of the family: Latescibacteria, OD1/Parcubacteria, OP11, TM7. The record is from Rfam by way of RNAcentral.
AGCCUAAACCAGUAAGCAAUUGCUGGCAUGGUGAAGAAGUCUGAUCAGAGCUAAAAAACCCAUCAUAUGGGGUUGCUCUGAUCAGCCACGUCGGGAAACCGGCGCGGAGGGCGCAAGUCCUC